Molecule: ribosomal RNA, 253 nt
Filed under: uncultured bacterium
Lineage: Bacteria
Description: partial 16S ribosomal RNA
Rfam family: Bacterial small subunit ribosomal RNA
Source: RNAcentral
UACGUAGGGCGCAAGCGUUGUCCGGAAUUAUUGGGCGUAAAGAGCUCGUAGGCGGCCAGUUGCGUCCGCUGUGAAAUCCCGGGGCUUAACCCCGGGCGUGCAGUGGAUACGGGCUGGCUAGAGGCAGGCAGGGGAGAACGGAAUUCCCGGUGUAGCGGUGAAAUGCGCAGAUAUCGGGAGGAACACCGGUGGCGAAGGCGGGUCUCUGGGCAGUAACUGACGCUGAGGAGCGAAAGCGUGGGGAGCUAACAGG